Small nuclear RNA from Cebus imitator (Panamanian white-faced capuchin), 107 nucleotides. NCBI's taxonomy places the organism in Eukaryota, Metazoa, Chordata, Mammalia, Primates, Cebidae. The record is from Ensembl.
GUGCUUGCUUCAGCAGCACAUACACUAAACGUGGAACGAUACAGAGAAGAUUAGCAUGACCCCUGCACAAGGAUAAAAUGCAAAUUCAUGAAGCAUUCCAUAUUUUU